UGUCCAGUGAUGGGAAUCGAACCCACAGUGUUCCGCUUACCGGGCAGAUGCCAUGUCCACUAGGCUACUUCUAUAC
Molecule: non-coding RNA, 76 nt
Organism: Cordylochernes scorpioides
Lineage: Eukaryota; Metazoa; Arthropoda; Arachnida; Pseudoscorpiones; Chernetidae
Source: the annotation of a GenBank genome assembly